This is a long non-coding RNA of Anolis carolinensis (green anole), 3070 nucleotides long. RefSeq lists it as uncharacterized. The transcript is spliced from 2 exons. Lineage: Eukaryota; Metazoa; Chordata; Lepidosauria; Squamata; Anolidae. The record is from RefSeq and is a predicted model, not a curated record.
CCUGGCUAAAGAGAAAGAAGGGGGAGGCGGCUGGAAAGCAGAGAAGUUGUACAAGGCCUGCCUCCUACUUUCUCCCUGAUGCUGCUCCGCCUUGACUGUUGGCAGCCAGGUAGAGACACAUGAAGCAAAGCAGGGUUUAUCUCCUAAAGGAGAAAGUCAAUGCAACAGGUUGUCAAGUUCUACCUCAUCUAAGUAGAGCUUAGAAAAGUUGCUCUUAUCAGGGCAACAUCAGGAUCUCCAAGAUGAAGGCUUUGAGGAACUGAAAUCGAUAAGAACCAUAAAAUCCUAGACAUGGAAGAGGCCCCGAGGACCAUCCACUCCAACUCCAUGGACUACAAAAUGAAAGCACUCCCGACAGAUGGUCCUCCAGCUUGUUUAAAAAUCUUCAAAGGAAACACCACCGUACUCCCAGGCAGCAUAUUCUAUCGUCAAACUGUCAGAAAGCUUUUACUGUCAGAAAGUUUUUCCUAAUCCUUAGAUGGAAUCACUGGGAUCUAUCUGUGGUGCUGUCUCUUUCUUGCCGCCUUCUCCAAGGGCUCCUUGACUUUUGCACUUGCCCAUUUCCAGAAUUGAACAAGGAUAUUAUCCAAUGCCAUUUUCAUUGUGCAAAGCAAUGGAUUCUGCAAAAGUGUAAUCCAGCCACAAGUAUGGUGGCAUGGAUUUUCACUUCUCUACCAUUAAAUUGGAUUUAAAUCAAAUCCUCAAAUGCCACUCUUGGUUAAGCCCAUAUUUGUUGAAACCCAGAUAAAUAUCAUGUGUUUCAAUAAACAAAGAAAAGAAAACCUUUUUCCUAAAAUAAAAUACAACCCAAAACAGGAUAGUGGGUGGGUAAGCUUUGUGAGCAUACAUGUGGUACGUGACGUUAACUGGAUAUGAUUUUUCAAUUAGCAGCCUAAUAUGGAAGGAUAAACCAGAUGCCUAGCUUAAUUGCCUCAAUUACAGUAGCUGUUACUCUUCACCAGAACCUGGCUGUCUUAUCCUUGCAUAUAGCAAUACUGAAAUAUUGAGCAGCCUGUCAUUAGUGACGAAAAGUCUUGUUAGCCCACAUAAGUCAAUGUACAGUGUAAAAAAAAACCCGAGACCUUAGAAUGAACCCAGCUGUAUACUUUGUCACUGUGAAGUCUUGCUUUUCUUUUAAAAUGUGCAGCCUGCAGGUCGAGAUCAUAUUAUGCUACAUUAACAAGAUUAUGAUUACAAUCUGUAUAAAUAUGUUUUCACACUUGUUACUCCUUCGUGUGAAAAUGGCUGGAUGGUUUCAACAAAUUUGGAGCAUGAAAUUUAGGCUGCAUGUUGUACAUAAGACUUGGGGGGGGGGUAUAGAGAGCCCUCCAGUAAUUUUUUUUAAUUUUACGAGUAUACGGUGCUUUCAAAUCAACUUCGACUUAUAGUAGUCCCAUUGUCCUCAACGGUCUUCUCAGGUCUUGCAGACUCAGGCCUGUGUCUUCCUUGACUGGGUUCAGUCAUCCAGAAUGGAGAAAAUGAAGGAUGUGCCCUUCUCUGGACAUGUUCCAGUUUGCCAAUCUCCUUCUUGAUUUGUGGAGCACAGAUCUGCAGAGUGUUAUUUCAAGUGAGGCGUCAAUAUGAAUAGAGUAGAUCUAUGACUUCCUCCAGUCUGGACCAUUGUACUCAUUGAGUUCUUCGGUAUAAGUAUGAAUUUAAAAGAAGGAUAAGAAAGUGUUUUCUCCCUUUUUUUCCCUUUAUGUUUGAGCUCUUAGCACAUUCUUGAUAUUUUAAAACUCAAAAUGGUUUUGAAACAAGUUAACCCUUCCUCAAAGCUUUGGCCAAAGAGGGGCAUCUGUUUCACAACGAAGAUAACCACAAAGAAGUACAGUAGAGUCUCACUUAUCCAACACUCGCUUAUCAUAGAAUCAUAGAAUCAUAGAAUAGUAGAGUUGGAAGAGACCUCAAGGGCCAUCUAGUCCACCCCCCCGCUAAGAAGCAGGAAAUCGCAUUCCCCAUUCAAUAAACUGAUUAUCCAACAUUCUGGAUUAUCCAACGCUUUUUUGUAGUCAAUGUUUUCAAUACAUCGUGAUAUUUUGGUGCCAAGUUCGUAAAUACAGUAAUUUCUACAUAGCAUUGUAUUGAACUACUUUUUUGUCAAAUUUGUGGUAUAACAUGAUGUUUUGGUGCUUAAUUUGUAAAAGCAUAACCUAAUUUGAUGUUUAAUAGGCUUUUCCUUAAUCCCUCCUUAUUAUCCAACAUAUUCGCUUAUCCAACGUUCUGCCGGCCCAUUUAUGUUGGAUAAGUGAGACUUUACUGUAUAAGGGACACGGAGAGUGUAAGGUGUAGCAUUCUUAGGUUUUAACCCCCAGCCCAGGAAGUUGCAGCUCUUUUUCUGAUUUAAGUCUAUUUAAUGCCAUGGCUGACAAAGAUUCUAUAAAACAUGUCCCACAACUCGGUCUAAUAUAAUUAAGCACAAAUCAAAUGGAAAGCAAUUACAAGCAAAUCCUGUCCCCACACAUCAAAAGGUGGGCGUUAGAAAAGGAUACCCAAAGGAUACUAAUGUGUAUCCUUUUCCAAAAUCUUCCAUUCAGUCUGCUAUAAAAUGUUCAGAAAUGCUGUAUGUAGUGCUUUUUCUGAAGACAAAAUAUUCUGGCACAAGCUUUAACAAAUUAGGGACCAUCAGAAAACCUACAUUUAAAAAAACAAAAAAAAACCUGUCUCUGUUGAUAGUAAAAAUACACCAUCUGGUGGCCAGAAAGGUAGUAGUACUGAAUAUUUCAUAGUAUGAGUGUUCCAGUGAAUAUGUGAGUAAAGCCGUUUGGAGUCAUGUACUCCCAGUAGGGUAUCCCAUGGUAAAAAGGUCACAGCGGAGGAACCAGACCAAGCAUGAUAAGAAGACCAAAGACCUCAAUGGCUGUGGCGCAGGCUGUUGAGCAACCAGCUGCAACAAAUCACUCUGAUCAAGAGGUCAUGAGUUCGAGGCCAGCUCCGUGUUUGUCUUGUCUUUGUUCUAUGUUAAGGCAUUGAAUGUUUGCCUCAUAUGUGUAAUGUGAUCUGCCCUGAGUCCCCUUCGGGGUGAGAAGGGCGGAAUAUAAAUACUGUAAAUAAAUAAAUAAAUAAAUAACAA